This 294-nucleotide long non-coding RNA is filed under the name Rosa chinensis. Its description in RNAcentral is "sRNA RchiOBHm_Chr1g0314281". Lineage: Eukaryota; Viridiplantae; Streptophyta; Magnoliopsida; Rosales; Rosaceae. The record is from RNAcentral.
UAUCUGUUUUGAAAUAUCAAUAUUUGGCCUUUGUAUCUAUUUUGGAUGGGAAUUGAAUCAAUUGAUUAAUUAAUAAUUGAAUUGCAUUUGUUUUGGCCUCUGUGAAUGAGAAUUGAAUCGAUUGACUGAUUGAAUUGCAUAUUUGCAUCUGUUUUGGCCUUUGUUAAUGGGAAUUGAAUCGAUUGAUUAAUUGAAUUGCAUUUGCAUCUGUUUUGGCCUCUGUGAAUGGUUCCAGUCAAUGAGUACAUUGACGCAGCUGUGAGACAUAUUCUCCUUAGGCAAGGUGUUCAUUAA